RNAcentral lists this ribosomal RNA (1341 nucleotides) under uncultured bacterium. RNAcentral's name for it is "bacterial SSU rRNA". It matches the Rfam family "Bacterial small subunit ribosomal RNA", at positions 8 to 1372 of the family's 1533-position model. The record is from RNAcentral.
AGAGUUUGAUCCUGGCUCAGGACGAACGCUGGCGGCGCGCCUAACACAUGCAAGUCGAACGAGCGAGAGAGAGCUUGCUUUCUCGAGCGAGUGGCGAACGGGUGAGUAACGCGUGAGGAACCUGCCUCAAAGAGGGGGACAACAGUUGGAAACGACUGCUAAUACCGCAUAAGCCCACAGCUCGGCAUCGAGCAGAGGGAAAAGGAGCAAUCCGCUUUGAGAUGGCCUCGCGUCCGAUUAGCUAGUUGGUGAGGUAACGGCCCACCAAGGCGACGAUCGGUAGCCGGACUGAGAGGUUGAACGGCCACAUUGGGACUGAGACACGGCCCAGACUCCUACGGGAGGCAGCAGUGGGGAAUAUUGCACAAUGGGGGAAACCCUGAUGCAGCGACGCCGCGUGGAGGAAGAAGGUCUUCGGAUUGUAAACUCCUGUUGUUGAGGAAGAUAAUGACGGUACUCAACAAGGAAGUGACGGCUAACUACGUGCCAGCAGCCGCGGUAAAACGUAGGUCACAAGCGUUGUCCGGAAUUACUGGGUGUAAAGGGAGCGCAGGCGGGAAGGCAAGUUGGAAGUGAAAUCCAUGGGCUCAACCCAUGAACUGCUUCCAAAACUGGUUUUCUUGAGUAGUGCAGAGUAGGCGGAAUUCCCGGUGUAGCAGUGGAAUGCGUAGAUAUCGGGAGGAACACCAGUGGCGAAGGCGGCCUACUGGGCACCAACUGACGCUGAGGCUCGAAAGUGUGGGUAGCAAACAGGAUUAGAUACCUGGUAGUCCACACUGUAAACGAUGAUUACUAGGUGUUGGAGGAUUGACCCCUUCAGUGCCGCAGUUAACACAAUAAGUAAUCCACCUGGGGAGUACGACCGCAAGGUUGAAACUCAAAGGAAUUGACGGGGGCCCGCACAAGCAGUGGAGUAUGUGGUUUAAUUCGACGCAACGCGAAGAACCUUACCAAGUCUUGACAUCCUGCGACGCACAUAGAAAUAUGUGUUUCCUUCGGGACGCAGAGACAGGUGGUGCAUGGUUGUCGUCAGCUCGUGUCGUGAGAUGUUGGGUUAAGUCCCGCAACGAGCGCAACCCUUAUGGUCAGUUACUACGCAAGAGGACUCUGGCCAGACUGCCGUUGACAAAACGGAGGAAGGUGGGGAUGACGUCAAAUCAUCAUGCCCUUUAUGACUUGGGCUACACACGUACUACAAUGGCGUUAAACAAAGAGAAGCAAGACCGCGAGGUGGAGCAAAACUCAGAAACAACGUCCCAGUUCGGACUGCAGGCUGCAACUCGCCUGCACGAAGUCGGAAUUGCUAGUAAUCGCAGAUCAGCAUGCUGCGGUGAAUACGUC